GACGAACGCUGGCGGCGUGCUUAACACAUGCAAGUCGAACGGUGAAGCGCCUUCCUUUUUGGUGGGUGUGGAUGGGUGGCGAACGGGUGAGUAACACGUGAGUAACCUGCCCCCUUCUUCUGGAUAACCGCAUGAAAGUGUGGCUAAUACGGGAUAUUCUGGGUCUGUCGCAUGAUGGGUCUGGGAAAGAUAUUGUUUCGGUGGGGGAUGGGCUCGCGGCCUAUCAGCUUGUUGGUGGGGUGAUGGCCUACCAAGGCGGUGACGGGUAGCCGGCCUGAGAGGGUGGACGGUCACACUGGGACUGAGACACGGCCCAGACUCCUACGGGAGGCAGCAGUGGGGAAGAGUGCACAAUGGGCGCAAGCCUGAUGCAGCGACGCCGCGUGAGGGAUGGAGGCCUUCGGGUUGUGAACCUCUUUCGCCAGUGAAGCAGGCCUGCCUCGUAUGUGGGUGGGUUGACGGUAGCUGGAUAAGAAGCGCCGGCUAACUACGUG
Molecule: ribosomal RNA, 494 nt
Filed under: uncultured bacterium
Lineage: Bacteria
Description: partial 16S ribosomal RNA
Rfam family: Bacterial small subunit ribosomal RNA
Source: RNAcentral